GGCGGAGGAGCAGUAUGUGUACUCCUCGCCUAAGUGAAGAGCCUGAAAUCCUUGGGGAAUCAGGGGAUUAUGAAGGAAAGGUGACAGAGGAAGGCAGCCUCGUAAUGAGAAUCCAAAUGUAUACAAGAACACAUCAGAGUGUACCGCUCCACACGGACCGGCCCAGGGGACCUAGAGAGAGGUGCAGAUCUGUCUGGCAAAAGAGAACGAAUGCCUUUUUAUGGGCCAGAGUUCUGCAACAAGCGGUCGGCUCUCAGCGAGAUCAUCGGAGUAUGGGGCUAGAAUGGUCUCUUGAGGGAAAUGUGAGAGGGAGGGGGAUGGUACAUGGGUAGGGGGAGGAAGAUAUGAAAGAGAGUCUAUUUAGUUGUUUUGGCAUGAACCAAAGACUGAAUGAUCCUUAGGACAUUGACAUGAAACAGCCUUUUUGGGGUCUCACACACAAAGAGCCUGAGGGCUGGGAAUGAAGAGUUAAUGAUGAGACACUGCAGCUCCGGGACACACCAUUGCGCGAUGCAGAGAUGGAACAGUCCGCUCUGGGAGGAUUCACUCACCAUUCACAACAGCACUGAGAAAAAUUCUUCUCCAGCGUUCCUGACAUCGUUGUAUCAGGCUGCCGUUGUAGGUCUGAGUCCUGCAGAGAAGAUUCAAGGCGAUCUCAUGAUCCUCCUCCAAGCCAUCCCCUCCUCCCCGCGGAGAGGAUGACUUGGAGGUUUCCUGGCCCCUCUGGACCAGGCCUGACUCGGGAUGUGUGGUGGUGUGUGUGCAGGAGUAGGGUGAGGGGUUGGGCCAUAAAUGACUAGAGAGCAAUGCGUAAUUUUAUGCUCUAGGUUAGAGGAGUGUGUGGCAAUUAAAGGAGAAUUUUGAAGGGGGGCAAGACUUAACUCAAAGGAGUAAACUUUUUAAUGAUGGGAUUUUAAGCAUCAGGCGGGAGAGGUGUUUGAGUGUAAGUGAGUAGGAGGAAAGUGGUUCUCAAGUCAGUCAGCUCAUAAAGUAGUUAUUAUAUGCUGUGUGCAAUUUGAGGAAUUGUGUCCAGAAUGUGAAAUCUCAUUGUUUGGAAUCUCAAUUCAGGGCAUGACAUCUAUGAGCAGACAGUGAAGUCUCUCAGCUGUUUUGGGGGUCUGCGUCACAGGGGUUUAGGUCUUCCAGAUGUUUGUGGAUCUCUGUCCCAGGGUGUGAAGUCUCUAAGCUGUUUGAGAGUCUUUGUCCUUGGGUAUGCCUGGUUUUUUUUUUUCCCUUAAAGUUGAAUUUCAUUUUUGUUUUUUGGCAUUUCUCUGACUACAAAAGGGGCUUAAUAUUGUUUUUUGAGCUUGUAAAACGAUGUAUAUAAAUUUUAU
Long non-coding RNA from Hippopotamus amphibius kiboko, 1334 nucleotides. RefSeq lists it as uncharacterized. NCBI's taxonomy places the organism in Eukaryota, Metazoa, Chordata, Mammalia, Artiodactyla, Hippopotamidae. The transcript has 3 exons. The record is from RefSeq and is a predicted model, not a curated record.